This is a non-coding RNA of Mycena latifolia, 92 nucleotides long. The record is from the annotation of a GenBank genome assembly. NCBI's taxonomy places the organism in Eukaryota, Fungi, Basidiomycota, Agaricomycetes, Agaricales, Mycenaceae.
GGCGUGGUGGCGCGCGGUGCGCGUCUGCAUUUCGUAUCCCAGAAGAGUGAUAUGGUUAGCAGAAGGUGCUCGUUCGACUCGGGCCUACGCCU